Molecule: ribosomal RNA, 406 nt
Filed under: uncultured bacterium
Lineage: Bacteria
Description: partial 16S ribosomal RNA
Rfam family: Bacterial small subunit ribosomal RNA
Source: RNAcentral
AUUGAACGCUGGCGGCAGGCCUAACACAUGCAAGUCGAACGAGUGGCAGACGGGUGAGUAAUGUCUGGGACACUGCCUGAUGGAGGGGGAUAACUACUGGAAACGGUAGCUAAUACCGCAUACCAUCGGAUGUGCCCUGAUGGGAUUAGCUAGUAGGUGGGGAAACGGCUCACCAAGGCGAAGAUCCCUAGCUGGUCGGAGAGGAUGACCAGCCACACUGGAACUGAGACACGGUCCAGACUCCUACGGGAGGCAGCAGUGGGGAAUAUUGCACAAUGGGCGAAAGCCUGAUGCAGCCAUGCCGCGUGUAUGAAGAAGGCCUUCGGGUUGUAAAGUACUUUCAGCGGGGAGGCGUUACCCGCAGAAGAAGCACCGGCUAACUCCGUGCCAGCAGCCGCGGUAAUUC